CCUACGAGUGGCAGCAGUGAGGAAUAUUUGUCAAUGGACGCAAGUCUGAACCCGCCAUGCCGCGUGCAGGAAGACGGCUCUUUGAGUUGUAAACUGCUUUUGUACGGGGGUAAACGCAGAUACGCGUAUCUGUCUGAAAGUAUCCUACGAAUAAGGAUCGGCUAACUCCGGUCCAGCCGCUGCGGUAAAACGGAGGAUUCAUGCGUUAUCCGGAUUUAUUGGGUUUAAGGGGUGCGUAGGCGGUCGGAUAAGUUAGAGGUGAAAUCCCGAGGCGCAACUUCGGAAUUGCCUCUGAUACUGUUCGGCUAGAGAGUAGUUGCGGUAGGCGGAAUGUAUAGUGUAGCGGUGAAAUGCUUAGAGAUCAUACAGAACACCGAUUGCGAAGGCAGCUUACCAAGCUACUUCUGACGUUGAGGCACGAAAGCGUGGGGAGCAAACAGGAUUAGAUACCCGAGUAGUC
RNAcentral lists this ribosomal RNA (460 nucleotides) under uncultured bacterium. RNAcentral's name for it is "partial 16S ribosomal RNA". It matches the Rfam family "Bacterial small subunit ribosomal RNA", at positions 338 to 795 of the family's 1533-position model. The record is from RNAcentral.